Molecule: long non-coding RNA, 641 nt
Organism: Bubalus bubalis (water buffalo)
Lineage: Eukaryota; Metazoa; Chordata; Mammalia; Artiodactyla; Bovidae
Exons: 2
Source: RefSeq, a predicted model, not a curated record
CGCUCCGACCUCCUUCACGUGACACCUCUCUCCUUCCCGCCCCCUUGUUCUGUACAACCACCCUUCACAUGUGACCCGGGGCUUCGGGCUCGCAGCUUUCAGCUCCUCAGUGCGUGUUUACGUACGGCGUGCGUGCGUGCUAGAACCCUCGCCGCCGAGCCCCCCUCACGUGACCCGGCGCCGCGUGCUCCCAGGGGCUACCUGCGCGGGACCGUGUUUCCUGCUCUGGGCCCUUCUUCCUCCGCCCGGAGCCGUGGUGAACAUGCAGGGCUUUCUGUGAGCAGAGAAGAAAGAGGGAGAGCUGCGGUCGCCGCUGUUUCAUUUUAUGACACUCUGUCUUGCAGUGUGGAUCACUGUGUCAGUGUAGAUGAAAUGGGCUAUGGAAGAUGAUGAACACAUCUUACAGAGCUGGGCACAGAGUACAUUUCUCGCUCGCUCACUUCAGUCAUGUCUGACUCUGUGCAACCCUAUGGACUGUAUUCUGCCAGGCUCCUCUGUCCAUGGGGAUUCUCCAGGCAAGAAUACUGGGGUGGGUUGCCAUGCCCUUCUCCAGGGGAUCUUCCUGACCAGGGAUCGGGGAUCGCACCCUUGUUCGAUUUAUUUCUUGCAUAAUAAAUCUCUCUUUAUUUAUUUCUCUUGCA